Molecule: long non-coding RNA, 623 nt
Filed under: Bos indicus x Bos taurus (hybrid cattle)
Lineage: Eukaryota; Metazoa; Chordata; Mammalia; Artiodactyla; Bovidae
Description: lncRNA (ENSBIXG00005030217.1)
Source: RNAcentral
UACUCCAUUUAAUUAAGUGGCUCUUAUGUGAAUAUACUACUUCCUUCAUUUCUUCAUUUUUUAGAUGGCAGUUAAAUAUAAGCAGAUGUUUUAAAUCAAUAUAGCUGAAAAUUGGAAAGAGGGAAGGGCGUUGAAGUUAGCGGAAUCAAACCCUGGGAGGAACAGAGAAAAUGACCCAUUACCAUUAAAAUGAAGGAGCUGAAUUGAGGAGACAGAGAAAUCAGUAACAGGAUCCAAGCAUUGCAUGAAUGGGAAGCACGAACUCCCCCACGGAUGCUGUGUGCAGAUGCUACGUGUGACUACUUCUACAUUUACCCAUUGGUCCUGUCUCUUUCCCAAGUUCUGGCUUUCAAGAGAAGAAGAAUGAAAAGGGAGGCAAGCAAUUUCUUAAGAAUGAGUUGGGGCAGCAAUUGGCAACCUCCUGUCUUCCCUUUUGAGAAGUAGCAGGUUGAUUUUACUACGCCUAAUAAUAAUUCUUAUUUUCUAUUCAAAGUUGUAUUAAAAUAUAGUCUUCAAAAUUGCUUUGUGAUUAAAAUGUAUGUGUGCGUAAUUCGUAUGUAAAAUUACACUGUGGUAAAACAUUCACUUUGUGAGCAUAUCUAAUAAAAAAGCUUUGGCACACA